CUGCAAAGCAUAGGUAACUGGUUGUUUCCUGUCUCCCUCGCUGCAGAAUUGCACUGUUCCCUGGUCUUCACCCACCUCAGUCCAACAGAAUCGCAUUUGGCAACUCCCAAGCAAAAAGUCCAAACUCCUCUUGGAAGGGAAGUAAAAAGAAAAGGGACAAGAAGUAACAGUAAAAAAAUACAGUAAAAGCACUCUUCAAAGUCCUGUGUCUUCUGGCCUUUGAAAAUGACUUUCUUUCCUGGUGAUCUGUUACUUAGUUUAACCUUCCAAGGACAGGCUGCCUUGGUGAUGUGCCAGUGGCAGACACUUCCUUACUGAGACCGUCAAGAAGUGCAUCAUUCUGCAGGUGCAAUAGCUAUAUCUUGGCCAUGGAUCAGAAACACAGAUAGUGCACCAUGAGGUAGCGGACAGAAGAACUUUAUCCCAUACAGGAGACGAGUAGCAGUUUGUGGAUUAGCAGCUUAAUUUAAAUAAUUGUGGUCAGCCUGAACAUAGUUGCCCCGUUAAUAAAGGGAAAAAAACAUAGCUGAAAAAAAUCUUCUCCAUAUUGUUAACUCAUGUUUCUAUGUACAACACACUUGUUUAUGUAUGUGAGAACAACUGAUCCCAUGUUUUCUGCUACUGAGAAGUUGUUUCAUGGUAAGUGUACCAGUUUUGAUUCCUUCCAGACUCAGGUUGCUACUCUAAAGCAAUCUCUUCGUGUAAAGCAGUCACUUCAUAGUCUGUUCUCUGGAUUGUCCAUACUUAUAGCAGUGUCUGGGCGUAAUAUCAGCAAGGCAUAACUAUUGGAUGUGUGCCUGUACUAACUCAUUAUCUUGGUCAUGUUGAGGAAUUCCUAGUUUGCUGUAGAUAGAAACUUGUUAAUGAAUAAUGAAAGUAACUUCUUAGUGUUUAGUGUCUUAAAAUCCAUCAGGACUGAGGCAAGUGUUCCCAGAAAAGAAAGCAGUGUUGCCCAGGUCACAGCCAGGAGAUAAAAUUCAGAUUUAGAAAAGCAAAUCGUUUUCCAUGGCAGAAAACAAAAAUGGAAAGGUGAGAUCAGAGUUCUUUGAAAGGCAGAUGUUGAACCAAAGGGUAGACUCUAUACUGCAUAUUAAGAUGCCAUGGAUGUUAGACCUUGAGAGAACUUAAGGCAUUAAUUAGCAUUCUCUGUUUAGAAAGCUAAGAAUUUUUCCUAGAAAUAUGUUAUGCUGAAAGUUUUCAGGAAUAUAUGUUUUCUGGAAAUGUAUUACAUUGAAAGUUUCUUGUCAACUAACCUGAGAUUUCCAAAUUUGGGAUUUUUGUGGUAACACCUUGUUUUGUAAUUUUUGUAAUUGUGUUGUCAAAAUCUUUGUCUCUGUCUUGUUUCCUUAUUUCCCCUUCCACCCAAAAGCAGAGAACAGGUUUAAGGGAGCCAGCUGGUACAGCUGCACAGUGCCAGAGCUGAACACGCAGUCACUGCUAGCAGUCCUCUCAGUGCCAUUAUACCAGGAGCAGAGAUCUGCCAUGUUCACACUCUGCCCACUCAUGCUGCCUACAAAUUGCGCUGCAGUAGGUUUAAGGAGCAGUGUCCUUGGUCAGGCAAAAAGGGAAACAGUAAUGAAUAAAUAACAGUUUUUUUGCUUUCUCUGUGGGCUUCGCUUUUAAUUACUUAACUUAUUGUGUCCAUUGGCAACACUGUACGCUUUUGUAUGUGUUUCUUUUCCCAUAAACAUAUGUUGAA
Molecule: long non-coding RNA, 1699 nt
Organism: Dromaius novaehollandiae (emu)
Lineage: Eukaryota; Metazoa; Chordata; Aves; Casuariiformes; Dromaiidae
Exons: 3
Source: RefSeq, a predicted model, not a curated record